GUGCUUGGAGAAAUGCAUAGAGUCCUUGCUCCCCACAAUGAUGAAUUCUUCGAGGAAGUCAAAAUGAGAUGGGAGGAUUGCUGCGCCAGGGUCAUUUUACGGAGUAUGAAAGAAGGCAAUAAAGCCACAUAUAAACAGGGAUAAAAGUAAGUUUGCCUUUUUGAUACAUGUAGUUAGAUGCGUGAAUGCUUCUUCUCAAAAAACCCUUUGUUCUAUGUGUUUCUUCUUCAAGAAGAACAAUUCAAUUUAUUGUGUUUCAGUGGAAGCCAACUUUGCACUGGUGAAGGCCCUUCCCAUUCUCUUUCCCUCGGUGGCACCUCCAUCAAAGAAACUGGGAUGUGCUAGUGAAGCUUUACUGCAUGUUCAGGAGUCAACAGAAGAUCCAAACGUCUUCUUCCAGAAGAAAGGCCUUUCAAGUCCAGUCUUGGUGUUCAAUGGCCAGUGACGUUUGAAAAAGAAAAGCUUCACUAGGGUCUGAUUUUCUAAAGGGCAUAUUAUUACACACUACAUCUGACCUACACAAAAUGCGUGGCCGCCCUUCUGUCAUUCAGACAGAUCCUUCAGGAUACAAUUCACAAGCGGGACAGCACCACCACAUGAAAGAGCAUUAAAGUAAAGAAUUUGUUGGAAGAUGAACUGCUUUUGCAGUUUAAUGUUUAUGCCUGUUCUUUAGAUGAGUAUUCUAAUUGUGUUCUUAAAGAAACUGUUGUAUUCCUAGAAAAUUUGGGUACAUUUGUAACACAAAUCUCAGUUUGUAAGUUGAAUAAAAGAAUCAAAAAGUGAAUUUGUUUUCAUUCUUUUUAGUAUUGAAACAAGAAAAAAUAUCUUUUGCAACUGCUUGUUUCAAGAUUUAUUUUCUGAAUUUUAGUGGGCAAUACAUUUUAAUCAAGCUCCUAUAUCCUAGUUUCUAGUUUUUUUGUCUUAAAUUACUGCUUAAAAUAAGUGUUUUUGCCUAAUUUCAAGAUUUAACCAAUUUACUAUGGCUUAGAUAUUUUUACUUAAAUCAAGACAUCUUGUUAAGUAAAAUUUACUAGCUGCACUGGCAGAUAAUUUGACUUAUUUCUAGUCAAUUUCUACUAAAAACAAGUACUUUUUUCUAGAAUUAAGAUGGUGGUUUUUUGCAGUGUACCACCAUUAUAUGACUUAAAUGGCAGAUAUGUGCACAUAUCACGUAAAAUGAUGUAACUGA
Molecule: long non-coding RNA, 1189 nt
Filed under: Oryzias sinensis (Chinese medaka)
Lineage: Eukaryota; Metazoa; Chordata; Actinopteri; Beloniformes; Adrianichthyidae
Description: lncRNA (ENSOSIG00000012866.1)
Source: RNAcentral